Oncorhynchus tshawytscha (Chinook salmon) is the source of this 639-nucleotide long non-coding RNA. Lineage: Eukaryota; Metazoa; Chordata; Actinopteri; Salmoniformes; Salmonidae. The record is from Ensembl.
GAGGCGUUUUGUCUCCAGGUGUGUUAUGACUGUACUAUCUGGGAGGUAUUUGGUCUCCAGGGGUGUUUUGACGAUACUAUGUUGGAGAUAUAACACUUGUCUCCAGGGGUGUUUUGACUGUACUAUGUGGGAGGUAUUUGGUCUUCAUGGGUGUUUUGACUGUACUGUGUGGGAGGUAUUUGGUCUCCAGGGUGUUUGGACUGUACUAUGUGGGAGAUAUUUGGUCUCCAGGGGUGUUUUGACUGUACUAUGUGGGAGAUAUAACACUUGUCUCCAGGGGUGUUUUGACUGUACUAUGUGGGAGGUAUCUGGUCUCCAGGGGUGUUUUGACUGCCCGGUACCCUGCACAGCAACCCGCCAUAGCCCCCACCAUUUCUCCUUUACCCAAAUCCAGAUAGCCGAUGUUCUGAAAGAGCUGCAAAAUCUGGAUCCCUACAAAUCAGCCGGGAUAGACAAUCUGGACCCUCUCUUUCUAAAAUUAUCUGCCGAAAUUGUUGCAACCCCUAUUACUAGCCUGUUCAACCUCUCUUUCGAAUCGUCUGAGAUUCCCAAAGAUUGGAAAGCUGCCGCAGUCAUCCCCUUUAUUCUGUUAGGAACGGCACAAAAUUGCACGUCAUGCAAUGCACGUCUCACCAUCCA